Molecule: ribosomal RNA, 831 nt
Filed under: uncultured fungus
Lineage: Eukaryota; Fungi
Description: eukaryotic LSU rRNA
Rfam family: Eukaryotic large subunit ribosomal RNA
Source: RNAcentral
CCCGCUGAACUUAAGCAUAUUAAUAAGCGGAGGAAAAGAAACUAACAAGGAUUCCCUCAGUAACUGCGAGUGAAGCGGGAAUAGCUCAAAUUUGAAAUCUCCAAGGGCAACCUUUGGCGAAUUGUAGUUUAGAGAAACGUUUUCUAGAGUGGAACGCCGUCAAAGUUCUUUGGAACGAGACAUCAGAGAGGGUGAAAAUCCCGUUUCUGACGGUGCGUCUUUCAUUCUUAUACGGAACGUUUUCGAAGAGUCAGGUUGUUUGGGAAUGCAGCCUAAAAUGGGUGGUAAAUUUCAUCUAAAGCUAAAUAUGGGCACGAGACCGAUAGCGAACAAGUACCGUGAGGGAAAGAUGAAAAGCACUUUGAAAAGAGAGUCAAAAGCACGUGAAGCCGUUAAAAUGGAAACGAUUAAAGUCAGCAGUGUUUGCAGGGCAAUCAGUUCUUUCGGUUGUUCGGUUGGUGGCUGUGCUGGAGAAUGUAACAGUUCCCACUGGUUGCCACUGUGGUGAUUGAAGGGAUGCACUUGUUUUGUGAGCAGGCCAGCAUCGAUUCGACCGAUGUGGUAAAGUGAGCGGAAAGGUAGCUCGGCAGUAGCAAUAUUGUUGAGUAUUAUAGUCUGUUUACCGAGACAUCAGUUGGAUCGAGGGAGAUAUCAAAAAGUGCAUGCUCUAUAGGGGCUAAACGGGGAUGGUCAUGGUGGUGCCCACGAUAGGUUACUGUUUCACGACAUGUGGCUCUUUGUGGAUCAGUGCUGCUAAAGAUUGUGCCUGCUUUAUACCAUGCGCUCGAGAUGCUGGCGAAAUGGCCUUAAACGACCCGUCUUGAAACACGG